RNAcentral lists this ribosomal RNA (938 nucleotides) under Escherichia coli. RNAcentral describes it as "partial 23S ribosomal RNA". It matches the Rfam family "Bacterial large subunit ribosomal RNA", at positions 953 to 1875 of the family's 2925-position model. Lineage: Bacteria; Pseudomonadati; Pseudomonadota; Gammaproteobacteria; Enterobacterales; Enterobacteriaceae. The record is from RNAcentral.
ACUGCGAAUACCGGAGAAUGUUAUCACGGGAGACACACGGCGGGUGCUAACGUCCGUCGUGAAGAGGGAAACAACCCAGACCGCCAGCUAAGGUCCCAAAGUCAUGGUUAAGUGGGAAACGAUGUGGGAAGGCCCAGACAGCCAGGAUGUUGGCUUAGAAGCAGCCAUCAUUUAAAGAAAGCGUAAUAGCUCACUGGUCGAGUCGGCCUGCGCGGAAGAUGUAACGGGGCUAAACCAUGCACCGAAGCUGCGGCAGCGACACUAUGUGUUGUUGGGUAGGGGAGCGUUCUGUAAGCCUGUGAAGGUGGCCUGUGAGGGUUGCUGGAGGUAUCAGAAGUGCGAAUGCUGACAUAAGUAACGAUAAAGCGGGUGAAAAGCCCGCUCGCCGGAAGACCAAGGGUUCCUGUCCAACGUUAAUCGGGGCAGGGUGAGUCGACCCCUAAGGCGAGGCCGAAAGGCGUAGUCGAUGGGAAACAGGUUAAUAUUCCUGUACUUGGUGUUACUGCGAAGGGGGGACGGAGAAGGCUAUGUUGGCCGGGCGACGGUUGUCCCGGUUUAAGCGUGUAGGCUGGUUUUCCAGGCAAAUCCGGAAAACCAAGGCUGAGGCGUGAUGACGAGGCACUACGGUGCUGAAGCGACAAAUGCCCUGCUUCCAGGAAAAGCCUCUAAGCAUCAGGUAACAUCAAAUCGUACCCCAAACCGACACAGGUGGUCAGGUAGAGAAUACCAAGGCGCUUGAGAGAACUCGGGUGAAGGAACUAGGCAAAAUGGUGCCGUAACUUCGGGAGAAGGCACGCUGAUAUGUAGGUGAAGCGACUUGCUCGUGGAGCUGAAAUCAGUCGAAGAUACCAGCUGGCUGCAACUGUUUAUUAAAAACACAGCACUGUGCAAACACGAAAGUGGACGUAUACGGUGUGACGCCUGCCCGGUGCCGGAAG